UCAUGACCGGUAAUCCGCAUAUAGCAUCAACUUGCUUUCUACGAUCCCACGUCGCGCGUCCGCCGCAACCUGACGUCCAAGAUGUUUCAUCCCUCGGAUCAAAUCCUUGUCGGGGAAUCCGGAAGUGGGGUUUAGGCGUGCUUCUCAAAACCUCAAAACUGACUCAGAAUCUGGCAAUUCCAUUAAGGUCGUUACCAUCUCCAAUGUGACAUGUUCUGCUUGCUAGUAUCCAUGGGUUUCGGUGAAGGUUUAGCUGACAAGCAAAUGAAGGACAUCGAAUAUGUUCGGCGACGAACAAUGGUGAACUCCAACAGGAGUGAGAAAGAAAGCCAAGGUAGAGAGGUUGAUAAAAGCCAUAGUGUGCCUUGAGGAAGACGAAGUUACAGUGCAAUAUGCGGAUACUUAUGCUGGAUUUGCAGUUGCCUGAGGAGAAGCGCGAGCUUGAUGAAUCUGAACAUGUCAUCUUAUGUUCUGAAUUUCUGAAUGCAGGGACGGAUACAACAGCUACCGCGCUGCAAUGGAUUUUGGCAAACAAAGGGUUGUGGAUGAAAUAAGAGAUGUGAUGGGUGAGAGAGAGGACAAGGAAGUGAAAGAGGAAGACUUGCAGAGACUUCCAUAUCUCAAGGCUGUGAUUCUGGAAGGACUGAGGCGUCAUCCACCUGCACACUUUCUGUUGCCACAUGCAGUGUCAGAGGGCGUGUUUCUGAAUAAUUACUCGGUUCCUAGAAGUGGAAUCAUAAAUUUUAUGUUGCAGAGAUGGGACGAGCUAUCCAAAUGUGUGGGAAGAUACAAUUGAAUUCAAGCCAGAAAGGUUCUUGUGGUUUGAGAAGAUUUAUGGAGGUGAAGAAUAUAAUUUGACAUAACGGGAAGCAAGGAGAUUAAGAUGAUGCCACUUGGGGGUGAGAGGAGAAUCUAUCCUGGUUAUAAUCUGGCAUUGCUCCACCUUGAAUACUUUGAGGCCAAUCUCAUUUGGAAUUUUGAGUGGAAGGCUUAAAGUUCGAACAGUGAUGUAGAAUUUUCAGAGAAACAGGAGUUCACCACGGUGAUGAAAUCUCCAUUGCAGGUCUAUCUAUCUCCUAGGCUCUAGGUGAUGGAACAUGAAAUAAUAAUUGUUAAUUGAGAUAUUA
This is an RNA transcript of Prosopis cineraria, 1127 nucleotides long. It is a transcript of the gene named cytochrome P450 89A2-like, with no coding region annotated. NCBI's taxonomy places the organism in Eukaryota, Viridiplantae, Streptophyta, Magnoliopsida, Fabales, Fabaceae. The transcript is spliced from 2 exons. The record is from RefSeq and is a predicted model, not a curated record.